AGGACGAACGCUGGCGGCGUGCUUAACACAUGCAAGUCGAGCGGUAAGGCCCUUUCGGGGGUACACGAGCGGCGAACGGGUGAGUAACACGUGAGUAAUCUGCCCUCCACUUGGGGAUAAGCUUCGGAAACGGGGUCUAAUACCUGAUACGACAACUUCCUGCAUGGGAUGGUUGUGGAAAGUUUUUUCGGUGGGGGAUGUGCUCGCGGCCUAUCAGCUUGUUGGUGGGGUAAUGGCCUACCAAGGCUUCGACGGGUAGCCGGCCUGAGAGGGUGACCGGCCACACUGGGACUGAGACACGGCCCAGACUCCGUACGGGAGGCAGCAGUGGGGAAUAGUGGACAAUGGGCGGAAGCCUGAUCCAGCAACGCGCGUGAGGGAUGACGGCCUUCGGUUAGUAAACCUCUUUCACGUACCGACGAAGCCGCCCGUUGUGGGUGGUGGACGGUAGGUACAGAAGAAGCACCGGACCAACGUACGUGACCAGCCAGCCGAC
This 496-nucleotide ribosomal RNA is filed under the name uncultured soil bacterium. Its description in RNAcentral is "bacterial SSU rRNA". It matches the Rfam family "Bacterial small subunit ribosomal RNA", at positions 26 to 518 of the family's 1533-position model. The record is from RNAcentral.